UACCCUCGGGUGGGGGAUAACCUCGGGAAACUGAGGCUAAUACCCCAUAGGCCUCGGAUACUGGAAGGUUCCGAGACCGAAAGCUCCGGCGCCCGAGGAUGGGUCUGCGGCCUAUCAGGUAGUUGGUGGUGUAAAGGACCACCAAGCCUACGACGGGUACGGGCCCUGAGAGGGGGAGCCCGGAGAUGGACUCUGAGACACGAGUCCAAGCCCUACGGGGCGCAGCAGGCGCGAAACCUUCGCAAUGCGCGAAAGCGCGAC
RNAcentral lists this ribosomal RNA (261 nucleotides) under uncultured archaeon. Its description in RNAcentral is "partial 16S ribosomal RNA". It matches the Rfam family "Archaeal small subunit ribosomal RNA", at positions 110 to 371 of the family's 1478-position model. The record is from RNAcentral.